GCCCGUUGAGUUUGCUUGUGAGGAUCCAGUCAACUCUGAUAACUGUGCAGGCAAGAUGAUCAUACCCUCGAAAUCACUACUAUCUUUGCUAUGCUAGUUUGCUCGCUCUUGCUAUGCCAAUGCUAUGAUGCCUACCUUUUGCUUGUCAGCCUCCCAAUUGCCAUGUUGAACCUCUAACCCACCUUGUGCUAGCAAACCGUUGAUUGGCUAUGUUACCGCUUUGCUCAGCCCCUCUUUUAGCGUUGCUAGUUGCAGGUGAAGAUUGGAGGUCGUUCCUUGUUGGAACAUCUUUUAUUUACUUGUUGGGAUAUCAUUAUAUUGCUAUGUUAUCUUGAUGCAUCUAUAUACUUGGUAAAGGGUGGAAGGCUCGGCCUCUCGCCUAGUGUUUUGUUCCACUCUUGCCGUCCUAGUUUCCGUCAUAUCGGUGUUAUGUUCCCGGAUUUUUGCGUUCCUUACGCGGUUGGGUUAUAAUGGGAACCCCUUGAUAUUUCGCCUUGAUUAAAGCUUGUCCAGCAAUGUCCAACCUUGGUUUUACCAUUCGCCACCUAGCCUUUUCUUUCCCUUGGGUUCUGCAGACUCAAGGGUCAUCCUAUUUUAACCCCCCUCCGGGCCAGUGCUCCUCUGAGUGUUGGUCCACCUGUCAGCUGCCGGUGGCCACCAGGGGCAACUCUGGGCUGGCCUACCCGUACCUAAGACAAUCUGAGUGUGCCCUGAGAAAGAGAUAUGUGCAGCUCCUAUCGGGAUUUGUCGGCACAUUCGGGCGGUGUUGCUGGUCUUGUUUUAACCUGUCGAAGUGUCUUGAGUUACCGAGAUACCGAGUCUGAUCGGAACGUCUUGGGAGGAGGUCUAUUCCUUCGUUGACCGUGAGAGCUUGUCAUGGGCUAAGUUGGGACUCCCCUGCAGGGAUUGAACUUUCGAAAGCCGUGCCCGCGGUUAUGGGCAGAUGAGAAUUUGUUAAUGUCCGAUUGUAGAUAACUUGAACCUUAAAUUAAUUAAAAUGAAUCAACUGAGUGUGUUGCCGUGAUGGCCUCUUCUCGGCGGAGUACGGGAAGUGGACACGGUGUUGGAGUUAUGCUUGCGCAGGUUGUUCUUAUAGCUUCCCGCUCGUGCUUUGCCUCCUCUUCUCGCUCUCUUUUGCGGAUAAGUUAGCCACCACAUAUGCUAGUCGCUUGCUGCAGCUCCACAUAUAUUUGCCUUAUCCAUUCCUAUAAGCUUAAAUAGUCUUGAUCGCGAGGGUGCGAGAUUGCUGAGUCCCUAUGGCUCACAGAUACUAUAACUCCAGAUGCAGGUCCAGGUGAUUCCGCUCCAGGUGACGAGUACGAGCUCAAGUAGGAGUUCGACGAGGACUCUCAGCGUUAUUAUGUUUCCUUUCCCGAUGAUCAAUAGUGGUGCCUAGUUGGGGUUCGAUUAAAAUCCUUGUCGCAUGUUGGGUUUUCUUCUAUUUUGGCGCCGUAGUCGGGCCAUGAGUAUUUGUAUGAUGGAUGUUAUUUAUGUACUCUGAUGUGACGUGGCGAGUGUAAGCCAACUAUGUAUCUCCCCCUUUUAUCAUAUAUUACAUGGGAUGUUGUAAUGAUUGCCUAACUU
This 1584-nucleotide long non-coding RNA is filed under the name Triticum aestivum (bread wheat). RNAcentral describes it as "long non-coding RNA (TAES_LNC014674)". The record is from RNAcentral. Lineage: Eukaryota; Viridiplantae; Streptophyta; Magnoliopsida; Poales; Poaceae.